CUGGGUGCCUCCCAGCUGCGGAUGUCCCGCGAGAACUCUGCGUCCUCCCCGAGACCCUGUUAAAAAGCCCCGCGCACAGCCUGUCGGGAGAGCGUGCUCUGCAGCACAAGCUCCUGUUAUCUCUUCGUUCUUUCCUUCGGGGGUGACGCUUUCUUUUGCGAACCUAUCUUGUUUAAUUGGCUCCAAGGACGCCAGGCGGAAGGACACUUGGAUAGGUUCGGCUCUAAGGAUGCCAUGGGCAUGGAUGCUAACAGAUAAGGAAAUAUUCAGCUGCAGUCAUUUUGCAAAAGGACCCACCGGUGAGGAAGCUGCUGAGGUUAGAACUGCUCAGGGCCCCACUGCGCACUGAAGUGACCUCUCUGAGCCGCAUCUAUGAUCUGGGACUAGCCAUGUGAGAGGCUGAAUGAAGUACUUGAGAACAGCAGAUGUUUGGGUGGGCAGGACUGUGAGCUCUGAAACCAGACAGUUUAGAUGUGAACCCCACUUACUUGGUUUCUCAAGGCUGAGGGUCUCAUCUCGUGGCACUGCUGACAUUGGGAUUGUUGUGCCUUGUGGGGUGUUUAUCAGCUUCCCUGGCC
Sus scrofa (pig) is the source of this 578-nucleotide non-coding RNA. Lineage: Eukaryota; Metazoa; Chordata; Mammalia; Artiodactyla; Suidae. The record is from RefSeq and is a predicted model, not a curated record.